Long non-coding RNA from Rhagoletis zephyria (snowberry fruit fly), 98 nucleotides. RefSeq lists it as uncharacterized. The record is from RefSeq and is a predicted model, not a curated record. Lineage: Eukaryota; Metazoa; Arthropoda; Insecta; Diptera; Tephritidae.
AAAAUGUCGUGCAUUUGUUUCUUCGCUUUGAGUUGCAAGUCGGGGUCCAGUUUUACAAUUUCUUCACCCAUGUAUAGUAUAUUUUGCUUUGCUGCACA